GGCUAACAUACUCUUUGGACAUCAUUGUUGCCAAACCCUUCCGAUGUUAUUUUACAUCAGUAGGAUACUAUUUUUCAAAAAGUAACAAUUGCCCAAAAAUACAGAUCUUAAUUGCAAAUUUUCCAACCCAAUCUUCCACAGUACUAUUCAGCCCCGACCACGGGCACUGCUUUUUUUAUUAUUUUCCCCAAAGUUAAAGGCCCGCGAAAAAACUUCGUGCGCACACCCUAUUUAUACGUAUUAGUUAUUCCUUUAGAAUUGCUACACAUCGUGUGGGUACCGAUUGUACGCAACCCUAGCAUAGCAUAAUGUACGUUCAAUUUUGAACGAAAAUGCUGAAUGCAAACUUCCGACGACGCUAUAUUAUGACUGUACGUCGCUGAGCUUACUCUACAGAGUGUUUUCAUGGCGACCAUGUUCAGGAACAAAUCUGGAGCGAUAUUGAAUACACAUUUCUUUUUUUUAAAAGCGAGUUUGCUCCUUAAUAAACCAACAUAAAAACACUCUAACCCUGGCGGUCUUUUCAUUAGAAAUAAUGCCGUAUUUACACUUAAUGCGCUUGUAAAUUGUCGUUACAACUUGAAUCUAAAGGCAUUUGCCAGCAACGCACAAUUCAAAUUGCAAAAUUAUCAAUUUUUUGUUUUCGCAAUUUUGUGAAUUAUUAUAAAGUAUUUUACGUUUCAUGUGAGUGUCGUAUAUUGCGCAGUUUGGACGCUUCUAAACUGUCUAACUCCCUAACUAUUUUGCGCACGCGACGGACCAUAUUAUCCGCAUGCAACCGCCCUGAAAAGGAAUAUCCCUAAAGAUAUUGAGCCGGAAUAACCGCCAUAAGAGAGGGGACCUAGUCACUGGUAGCGGACUAUUUUUUCAUGAAGUAAGACCGGCUACCAGGAAAAUACAUGCUUUACCUUACUACGGGAGAGAAAAUGUUUAAAAAAACUUUGCCACCAUAAUUGUCUUAUUCUCGCCGAUCCAAAGGACCAACAUGAUUUCCACCAAGUCUUCUUACGGGUACCAUUUGCACCCUCUAAGCUAUGGGUACCAUUUGUACCCCCUAACCCCAAGACAAACGAUGCCAGUUUUUUGAAGAAAAAAAAUGUUUAGAUGAGGAAAGUGACAAAUUUCUU
This is a non-coding RNA of Paramuricea clavata, 1127 nucleotides long. NCBI's taxonomy places the organism in Eukaryota, Metazoa, Cnidaria, Anthozoa, Malacalcyonacea, Plexauridae. The record is from the annotation of a GenBank genome assembly.